UUAAAUUUUCAUAGUGAAAUCAAAUAUGAAAACAUUUAUUUUUUUUAACAUAUUUGUUUUCUUUUCCAGAACCAAGCAUAGUGAUGGUAGAGAAGUUUGUGGUAGUUUUAAAAGAUAUGACAUUGACCUGGUGAGAAGGAUAGCUAGAAAAUGAGGGAUACUGUGCUUAAAGAAAUUAUUGGAGGUGCUUUGAGUAAAAGUUAGAAUUCCAACUGAAAAAACCAGUCUUUUAUGCAUAGAGACUCCCCACUCACUGUUCCACCCGAUUUUUUGCUUUUCAAUGCUACCCCAAUUUCUGUUUCAUAUAUAUAUAUAUAUACAUAUAUUUUAAUGUCAGAGGAACCUCCAAUUCCAACAAUGUUUUUGUUAGAGUGUGUGAUAUAUAUUGUGGGUGCAAAUCCUACAAUCUAUAGAUUUUAGGAAAAUUAGUUGUCUAACAUGGUCUCGGAGUGUUUGGAAGGAGGUCAUGUGUUCAACUCACCAUAUAUUUAUUUCCUCAAUUUGUUAAACCCAAAAGAGGCUACUUUAUUUACCCAAUUUAUUAAGCCCACAUGUAAGCCCAAAAAGAGGCUACCCUUGAGGGAGGGUGUUAGAGCCCACAAUAUAAAUUGUGGAACCAAAUCCUACAAACUUAAACUUCUAGGAAAAUGGUUGUUUAAUAGUUUUAAUUUAUUUAUUUUUUCCUUACACUCGGCAAAUUAUAACUGUUGUUGCUUAGUUCUGUAGUUGCCAUCUAAUUUUCUGAUAAAUUGACAAUCAUUUUUUCUUUGAGAACAGAAGAUAAGAAAGUAUCCUUUUCUGUGCAAGCAGCAUCUAUAUAUGUAUAUAUGUGUGUAUGUAUCCUGCCUUAUCCAUUUUUCACUGUUACUAUACUGGUUAACUGUUCUCCUUCAUUAUGGAAGAGUUACAUUCCUGGAUUCUCAACUGUCCUGUUCAUGUGAGGAAACAAAAUGGUCUGCACCUGGUAUAUUUGGAUCAAAUCAUGAUUGAAAUAGUCUAAUACCUCUCCCACUUGAUUGUGAUUCAAAUAAAAUCUUUAUUCAUUUAUUUUUCCUUUAACAGCUGGACUAGAUUCCACCCCAUGCCAGUCAAUCCCAACCUCAUAAGCUGAUACUUCUCUCUGAAAUGACUUUUUGUCCUACUUGUGUUCCACUAGUUCUACAUGCUUUCCAAUUUAACCUACGCUUUUGUCAUGAAAUCUGUUGUCAUAUGUUCAAGGUAUUUCACAAAUUUUGUCUCACCUCCUACCAUAUCUCUUAAGAGAAGUUGCUAAUAUGAUAUGGAGCUUUUAUCUACUAUUGAUCAAACAAAUAAGAAAAUUAUUAUCAGCCUUUUAUCUACUAUUGAUUAAAGAAAUAAGAACCUUAUUAUCAGAGUACAUGUAUGGUUCUCAUGGUUAUACCUGCUCAAAGCAUUAUCUAGAUGGCUAAUGCAGGUUUUCACCCAUUCUUCAUCCAUUGACACCAGUUUGCUUUAGCUAGUGAGUUUUUAUAUUUCCACCUAAUUCCAAUGCAUGACUGCUUCAUGAUUUUGACUUCUCAGAUCUUUACCAAAAUCUGCAUUCGAGCACUUUCCGUUGUACAAACUAUUAUUUCAUUCAUUCAUUUCUUCGAGUGUAUUUUUGUGAUCAGACAGUUCAUUGAGUGUAUUAAAAAAUCCUUUCCUCCAUUUGCUAAUGUCCUUUUGGAUGGGCCUAAUGCUUACUAGCUCUACUGUUGCAUCUAUCUUCCACAACAUGGAGACACGGUGUGGGUUUGAUAUGACACUAAUGUGUUGACAUAACAGUGUUUUAGAGAAGUAUGAUGUAGACUUAGAUGCAUGCAGAGAAAUAAGUCAAUAGUAGCUCAUUUAGAUUCACCUAUAAAGCUGCUCUUCUCCAACAUUCUAAUUAUCUUGACAAAAAUUAUUGUUCUCUUGUUUUCUUUGCUCUUCUAAAACUUUUCUUCACAGUUCUUCUAUAAAUUGCUUCACUAUUCUAUGGUUAUAUUUCUGAAAUCUAAGUUGUGCAUAAGUUCAUAUUAGUCUUGGACCUGUGCAUGGAGAAGGUGUGGCGGUGACCCUGUUGAGUUCAUGGCUAUAAACUGCUACUAUUUUACACUUUCAGAACAAGCCAGCCAUUGUUGACCUAAUUUAUUUUAUAUGAGAACCCAAAGUUAUUGGCUACAGUUUGACUAUUCAUGUACUAUUAAUUGUACUGUAAAUAUAAUGUUUGUCUAAACUAUUUAUUUGUUAUAACGUGAAAGAGUGAAUUAAAGUGAUGUUGAGGAAGGGUAUUAGGGAGAGGGCAUGAUCAGUUUAGUGCUCAUUGUGGGUUCGGAGUAGGUAAUGGGUGGUGACUACAUGAUGCUUGGUGUGGAGAAAGAAAUCUUAAGUAGAUAUUCUUUGGUUUGUUUGUGUUGGUGGAGAAUAAGGAGGUUUGAGUGGUGGACUAUUAUUCCAGGAGGAUGCAUGUCAGCAUUGAUGGUUGGAAUUAAUUAUAGAGUUCCAUGAUUGGGAGAUGGAGGAGUGGGUAUCCCUUUCAGCUUAUAUCUAAGCAGAAGAAUUUCUUGAGAUAGGGACUGCCAUUAACUUUGGCAACUGUAUGUGCCAAAAAAAGGUUGGGAGAUUGAGGAGUGGGUAUCCCCUUUAGCUUAUAUCCAAGCAGAAGAAAUUUCUUGGGAUAGGGACUGCCAUUGACUUUGGCAACUCUAUGUGCCCAAAAAAGAGUUUAUAGUUAUUUGUACUUAUAAUAAACAAAUAAAAGAUCGGGGUAGUGGGGUUCUCAACCAAAGAAACUUAGGAUUCCAGUUUAUAGAGAAGAAAUAGUGGGUUUAGUUCCUUUGCAAAUGCUAAGAUUUAUGGUGCAAGAAUAAGUUGACUCAUAUUAUCUUGACUUAGUUCUGAUUCCUGUAUUUUUCUUUUUAAGGUUCUUCUACUAGUUGUACCAAAGAGAACCUAGCAAAAUCUUCAUUUAAAAACCAUUUCCAUUCUAUAGAUUUUUUUCCUCUUGCUUUCUCUUGGGGUUCAGCUGCACCCUUUAUUGUGAUUCUAGUACAGUUUUUUUACUUAUAUAGAACCAUGUGGCUACAUCAUUAUCAUAUUAAGUAAUUUUUAUGCAUGUUGUCAACUUGAAGACAUUUUGCAUAAAAUUUUCCACCUCUUCCAGUAGGUAAAAUUUCAUCUUUAGAAGGUUUUAUCUUUUUCUUUUUGAUAGACACAACCACAUAUAUCAUAUUUUUGUUAGUUGUGGGUGCAUAAAACACAUUAGUCAAAAUUAAAUGUCUUUUCUUACUUCUGAUAAAAAAUGUCUUUUCUUACUUUAAUAUGUCUAAUCAUAUAAACCACACUAGGUAUUGUCCUGAAUGACAAACAGUGUUUUUCUGGUGAAAUAUCUCUCUGGUGAAGCUUUCUCAACUCUGAGUUGAUUCACAUUCAAUAUUGUAGAACCGUUUUAUCUUGGCUGUUUAACAGAAGGUGAUCAACCCAAAUCUCAAAUGAUAAACGGUUGCUACUACCUUCUCCACUUUACGCACUGAGAACUUUGGUCUGUUAUGCUGUUCUAUCAAGAAUGAGUAGUUGAAGUCUAGCAGCAGUUUCCUUCACAGAUAUCUUUUGCUCAAUCUGUUACUUGUAUAUUUGAGUUAGUCGCUCAUUUUUUACACACAUGUUGCAUUCGAAUAGCAUAGAAGAAUUGCUAGUUCAAUGGCAUUGGUUUGUCAUUCCAUUGAUCUUGAUUUCAAGUGCCUUCCUUUACAUUUUAAAGAUUUAAUCUUCAGUUUUCUAAUUCAAACAGGCUAAAUUUAGCCCAUCCUAAACCAUGUAUAAUGGGCCAAGUGCAAUUUGUGAUUGUGAAUGGGGCUUAGGCUAGUUUGGCUCAGCUUGGUCUGUGCUCGGCUCAGUGAUGAGACAUUCACUGGUAAGCUAGUGACAUCAGGAAUAUGUUGGCAGCAAUGCACACACAGAGGAUACAGAUCCCAAGCCAGAGCUUGAACCCAUGUGCAUUAGUGAUAGGAAAGGUGGCCAUUGCACCAGAUCCAUGAAACUAAGGAAAGAAAAGAUCAUGUAGCUUCAUAGACUCCUUUUCAAUGAGUUACAUAUACACACACAUAUAUCUAAUGCAGAGUCAAACUUUCCCGUCUACUUGAGCUACUUGAUGUAUUUGAUAAUCCGUGGAAUAAAAUUAUAGCAUCUGGGUAUUUGUCUCUCU
Long non-coding RNA from Vitis riparia (riverbank grape), 4186 nucleotides. RefSeq lists it as uncharacterized. The record is from RefSeq and is a predicted model, not a curated record. NCBI's taxonomy places the organism in Eukaryota, Viridiplantae, Streptophyta, Magnoliopsida, Vitales, Vitaceae. The transcript has 2 exons.